AUGAAUUAGCCAUUUCAAUUACUUUUCGAAUUUCAAUUUCAUUUCCAAUUAGUAUUAGUAUUUCAGUUACAAUUACUAAAUCUGUGAACGCUGGAUAAGACAAUGUUCCACGCACUUUUUAAAAUCCAUAGUAAACGAAGAAGUGGUGUGUUUUUAGCUCUGAGGGACCUAACUAUAAUAAAGAGACAUGUUCAAACAGAUGAAAUGUGCGCAGUGGCUUUGAGAUCACAUGCCAUGCACCAGACCGGUUUUACAUGUUGAUUAAAAAUAAACUUGCCUGGGGCGUAACGUAACCUCUCAUCGGAGCAUGAAACAAACACGUAUAGGACACACUAUUACAGAAUAUUGUUUAAAGCUGAAGUGAAUAUGAACGCAUGUAGAUGGACGGGCUUCGGGUGAGCUGAAGGACAUUCAGAGACGAUGGCUGACAGAGAAGGCAGAUCGGGUGAUCGGAGGACCAGGGAAAGACGUGAAAGGAGCCAGAGCAUGGGAGAACGUCCCAUGAUGGACAGUAGUGCAGAUUUGGAUAGCCCUGACAGUAAGUAAAAGAAGUGUGAUAUUUUUAUAUUUUUAAUGAGCUGUGAGUGACGCCUGCUAAUACAUAAAUUUAGAUAUUAGAAGUAUUUAGACAUUUUUGAUGAGCUCUAAUGUCACAUGGACUACUUUUAACAAUGUCCUGGGUCGGGGAAUAUUCCCUUUAAUUAUAAGUUCUUAAUACUUUAUUUUAUAUUUAAAGCUGCUGUCCAUAACGUUUUUAUUAUUUCGGAUUAUAAACGAUCCAAAAUUAAUUUCUGGCCAAGUACGUAACCAGCCAGUGUUCAAAACCUUCAAAAUCUCCUCACCUUAGCCCAAUUCACAACUGUCACCAAGCCAGCAGAGGGAGCUCUUACCCCUGGGUGAUCUGC
Molecule: long non-coding RNA, 905 nt
Organism: Puntigrus tetrazona (Sumatra barb)
Lineage: Eukaryota; Metazoa; Chordata; Actinopteri; Cypriniformes; Cyprinidae
Exons: 3
Source: RefSeq, a predicted model, not a curated record